Molecule: ribosomal RNA, 696 nt
Filed under: uncultured bacterium
Lineage: Bacteria
Description: bacterial SSU rRNA
Rfam family: Bacterial small subunit ribosomal RNA
Source: RNAcentral
AACGCUAGCUACAGGCUUAACACAUGCAAGUCGAGGGGAAACGACAUCGAAAGCUUGCUUUUGAUGGGCGUCGACCGGCGCACGGGUGAGUAACGCGUAUCCAACCUGCCCAUCACUUGGGGAUAACCUUGCGAAAGUAAGACUAAUACCCAAUGACGUCUCUAGAAGACAUCUGAAAGAGAUUAAAGAUUUAUCGGUGAUGGAUGGGGAUGCGUCUGAUUAGCUUGUUGGCGGGGUAACGGCCCACCAAGGCGACGAUCAGUAGGGGUUCUGAGAGGAAGGUCCCCCACAUUGGAACUGAGACACGGUCCAAACUCCUACGGGAGGCAGCAGUGAGGAAUAUUGGUCAAUGGGCGAGAGCCUGAAUCAGCCAAGUAGCGUGCAGGAUGACGGCCCUAUGGGUUGUAAACUGCUUUUAUAAGGGAAUAAAGUUAGUCUCGUGAGACUUUUUGCAUGUACCUUAUGAAUAAGGACCGGCUAAUUCCGUGCCAGCAGCCGCGGUAAUACGGAAGGUCCGGGCGUUAUCCGGAUUUAUUGGGUUUAAAGGGAGCGUAGGCCGGAGAUUAAGCGUGUUGUGAAAUGUAGACGCUCAACGUCUGCACUGCAGCGCGAACUGGUUUCCUUGAGUACGCACAAAGUGGGCGGAAUUCGUGGUGUAGCGGUGAAAUGCUUAGAUAUCACGAAGAACUCCGAUUG